Molecule: RNase P RNA, 301 nt
Filed under: Escherichia coli DH1
Lineage: Bacteria; Pseudomonadati; Pseudomonadota; Gammaproteobacteria; Enterobacterales; Enterobacteriaceae
Description: RNA component of RNaseP
Rfam family: Bacterial RNase P class A
About the family: Ribonuclease P (RNase P) is a ubiquitous endoribonuclease, found in archaea, bacteria and eukarya as well as chloroplasts and mitochondria. Its best characterised activity is the generation of mature 5'-ends of tRNAs by cleaving the 5'-leader elements of precursor-tRNAs.
Source: RNAcentral
GAGGAAAGUCCGGGCUCCAUAGGGCAGGGUGCCAGAUAACGCCUGGGGGGGAAACCCACGACCAGUGCAACAGAGAGCAAACCGCCGAUGGCCCGCGCAAGCGGGAUCAGGUAAGGGUGAAAGGGUGCGGUAAGAGCGCACCGCGCGGCUGGUAACAGUCCGUGGCACGGUAAACUCCACCCGGAGCAAGGCCAAAUAGGGGUUCAUAAGGUACGGCCCGUACUGAACCCGGGUAGGCUGCUUGAGCCAGUGAGCGAUUGCUGGCCUAGAUGAAUGACUGUCCACGACAGAACCCGGCUUA